RNAcentral lists this ribosomal RNA (3916 nucleotides) under Gossypium arboreum. RNAcentral's name for it is "Eukaryotic large subunit ribosomal RNA". The stretch from base 474 to 3916 matches the Rfam family "Eukaryotic large subunit ribosomal RNA". Lineage: Eukaryota; Viridiplantae; Streptophyta; Magnoliopsida; Malvales; Malvaceae. The record is from Rfam by way of RNAcentral.
ACUAUUAGGUCCUUAUAGAUUAGCCUAUCACAUUUCAAAAGUGUCACACAAGUCCUAAUAACUGAAUUCACAUGAAAAUUGACUAAAUCGAAGCUUGAAAUUUUCACACAUUCAUAAAUACAUAUUCUAGACAAUAAAUAUUACGUUCAAACAUUUCGGUGACUUGGUUUAGCGGUCCCGAAACCACUUCCCGACUAGGGUCAAUUUUGGGCUGUCACAGCCUAUGCAUUUUGUCUCUUGACACGGACAAUGAUCGCGCUCUGUUAUAACCUUUUCGUUGCUUACGUUGCAUGUUGAGGACCAUGCAAUGCUGACAUUAAGGAGGAAUGCUACCUAGUUGAUCCUGCCAGUAGUGAUAUGCUUGUCUCAAAGAUUAAGCUGUGCAUGUGUAAGUGUCACAGACUUAGAUUUUUCCCACAUAAUCCGUGUGGGCUUAGGCAUUUUCUUCACUUUAAAAAUGCCUUAAGUCAGCCUAACUCCCAAUAAUUGAGGAUUCAACAGGAUUCCACUAAGGCACCCACGAAGAACAAGCGGAAGAACAAAAAUUGAAAGAACUCGAAAGAUGAACAAAGCCACAAAAAAGCAAGAACACUAGAGAGAAAGUUUGAGUGAAUGCUCUCAAGAAUUCUAUUACUCACUGAAUGAUUUACAAUAAUGAGGAGAGGCCUUUAGUUAUAGUUGAGCGUCUCCAAAAUCAACAGUACAGAUCAAAGUACAUCAAUAAGAUUAAAAGCUAUCUACAAAUCAAAUAUCUAAGAUUAUAGAAUUGUAUCUUCUAAAGAUUACAUAUCAUAUUUAAGAUUACGUAUAUUUGAAGAUCACGUUCCACAUUUGCCAAGCUUUGUAGAUAGGCCUUCAAUCUCUCCAAGCAAUGGCCUAGUCCGGUUAGGCCAAACCACCUCCUUUGAACAUCAUGGAUCACAGAAGUGCGCCAUGAUUACAGGCUCCCAAUCGCAACCCAUGACAUCCUCUCCCACUUGUUCUAGUGACGUCCUCAUCGCGUCCUCCUCAUAGAGCUGGUCUAUCUUUCCUUGGAACUGUCGGGAAGUCCCUUCCAUUAAACUAAGUAUUCAUGUCACAAUCAAUAGUAAUUUCAUUUGAUCAUAUGGUUUGCCUUUAUGUUUUCAACUUUACAAUCGUAGGAGACCUUUACCCUCAUCGGUGCCCUUUUGAACUUGCCUAGAUUUAGAUCCUCUUUAUCGUCAUGAAAAGGCUUAAGCAUCACAUGAAACACUGUUUGGAAUUUGAGUUUUGUCAGCAACUCAAGCUUGUAGGCCACUCUAUUUACUAUCUUCACAAUUCAAAAGGGUCCUUCAUACCAUCACACAAGCCUCUUCUGCAAACCAUUAUGUCAUAAAACAAGAGUAGUUUAAUAAGGACUAAAUUACCAACCUAAAAUUGCACAUCCCUUUGAUUCUGAUCCACCUACUUCUUGUUGUGCUUACUGGCAUUCUGUAGACGAGCUCUAGCCAAGUCAUUUUUCUCUAGUCAAGCUUUGGGUGACAGCCUGCAGGUUCCCCAAUCUGCCUGUCUUGGAAUACGGAUCAAUGAGUGACAUGUGUGCAAGUCAAUGGGCUAGAAAACCAGUAAGGUGCAAGGAAGCUGAUUGGUGGGAUCCCUCGCGGCAGUAUUGCCGAUCGACCUUGAUCUUUUGAGAAGGGCUAGAGUGAGAGAAUGCCUGUCAAGACAUAAAACAUGGUAAACUAUGCAUGAGCGGGGCGAAGCUGGAGGAAACUCUGGUGGAGGCCUAUAGUGAUAUUGACGUGUAAAUCAUUCGUCUGACUUGGGUAUAGGGGUGAAAGACUAAUCGAACCAUCUAGUAGUUGGUUCCCUGUAAAGUUUGCCUCAGGAUAGUUGGAGCCCUUAAUGAGUUCUAUCGGGUAAAGCCAAUGAUUAGAGGCAUUGGGGGCUUAACACCCUCGAUAUAUUCUUAAACUUUAAAUAGGUAGGAUAGUGCAGCUGCUUCAUUGUGCCAUGCCAUAUAAUCGAGAGCUCCAAGUGGGAUAUUUUUGGCAAGCAGAACUGAUGUUGCGGGAUGAACCGGAAGCAGAGUUAUGGUGCCCAAUUGCGUGCUAACCUAUAACCUACAAAGGGUGUUGGUAAUGAGAGUGUAAAAACUCACCUGCUGAAUCAACUAGCCCCAAAAAUGGAUGGCGCUUAAGUGCGUGACCUAUACUCGGCCGUCGGGGCAAAGGCUAGGCCCUAUUGAGCAUGAGGGCACAAAAGUCAUUGAAAAACUCAAGGUGAGAGCUUGGACAGAAUGGCCAUCGGUGUAGAUCUUGUUAGUGGUAGCAAAUAUUCAAAUAAGAACUUUGAAGGCUGAAGAGGGGAAAAGCUCCAUGUGGAUGAGACUUGCACAUGGGUUAGUCAAUCCUAAAAUAUGGGAGAAGCUCAUCUGAUAGCGAGUCUAUCGUGAGUUUUGAAAGGGAAUUGGGUUAAAAUUCCUUAAUUAGGAUGCGCCUACUGACGUUAACGUUAGGGAGUCUGAAGACAUCAGUGGAGGCAUCGGGAAGAGUUAUCUUUUCUAUUUAAUAGUUUGACAUCCUUAAAAUGGCUCAGCUAGAGUAGGUUCUAGUGGCUGGAAGAACGCUACAUGUCGCGUGGUGUCCGGUGUGCCCCCGGUGGCCCUUAAAAAUCUAAAGGACUGAGUGUUGUCUGUGUUUAGUCGUACUCAUAACCGCAUCAGGUUUCCAAGGUGAAAAGCCUCUGGUCAAUGGAACAAUGUAUGCAAGGGAAGUUGGCAAAAUGGAUCCGUAACCUUGGGAAAAGGAUUGGCUCUGAGGGCUGGGCAUAGGGGUCCUAGUCCCGAACACGUCGGUUGCUGGUGUAUUGCUCGAGCUGCUCUCACAGUGAGAGUAGGUUUCCACGUGCCAGCUAGAGGAUGGACUAGGAAUGACUCCCUUUGAGGCCUUUCUCAGGUAACAAACAAUCGAUUUAGAACUAAUAUGGACAAGGCGAAUCUGAUAGGUUAAUUAAAAUAAUGUAUUGUGAUGGUCCCUACGAAUGCUCAGGCAAUAUGAUUUCUGCCCAGUGUUCUGAAUGGAUUAACAAGAUUCCCACUUUUCUUGUUUACUACCUAGUGAAACUAAAGGCAAGGGAACGGGCUUGGCAGAAUCAGUGGGGAAAGAAGACCCUAUUGAGCUUGACCCUAGUCAGACUUUGUGAAAUGACUUGAUAGGUUUAGGAUAAGUGGGAGCUAUUGGGUGAAAUUGAAAUACCACUAGUUUUAACAUUAUUUUACUUAUUUUGUGAAUCGAAGGUGGGGCCCAACCCUUCUUUUUGGACAUAAGGCCGGCUUCGACCGGUCGAUCUGGGUAGAAGACAUUGUUAUGUAGAGAGUUUAGUUGAGACAACAAAUCUUGUAAAAGAUGACGUAGGUGUCCAGUGAUGAGCUCAAUGAGAACAAAAAUAUCGUGUGGAAUAAAAGGGUAAAAGCUCAUUUGAUUUUGAUUUUCAGUAUUAAUACGAACCUUCAACGCAUGGCUUAUUGAUACUUUAGACAUUUAGAAUUUGAAGCUAGAGGUGUCAGAAAAGUGACCACAAGUAUAACUGGCUUGUCCCACCCAAUCAUUCAUAGCGACGUUGCUUUUUGAUCAUUCGAUGUCAACUCUUCCUAUCAUUGUGAAGCAGAAUUCACCAAGUGUUGGAUUGUUCACCCAUUAAUAGGGAAUGUGAACUGGGUUUAGAUCAUCAUGAGACAGGUUAGAUUUACCCUACUGAUGAUCGCGUCGCGUUGCAUCGCAAUAGUAAUUCAACCUAGUAUGAGAGGAACCGUUGAUUUGCACAAUUAGUCAUUGCGCUUGGUUGAAAAGCCAGUGGCACGAAGCUACCCUGUAUUGAAUUAUCACUGAACGACUCUAAGUUAAAAUCUAGGCUAGAAGCGACGCACGCACCCAUCACCCGAUUGCUGACCCGU